GAUUAUCUUCCAACAUUGCCCAAUGCUGUGAGUUAUCUAUGCUGAUUAGAUUUGUUUGAUAUAUUGGAGGUUUAGUGUAAGAGAAAUCCAAGUCAUACAACUCUAGAUUUGAAUUGGACACUCCAUUUUCCCACUUACUUGGAGUAAUCAAAACAAUUCUUCUCUGCAAUAGUGGUCUCUCUCUUUUCUUGCGUGUAUAAGGUCUUCUCUGCAACAGGUGAAGAAAAUCCAUCUCAGGCUCAGCAGCUAGAAUACUGGCUUAAGGAAACAUGUUUUUAUUUGUGUGUGUUUUCUUUUUUCGCUCACAUUAGACCCUUAAGCUUAUAAUAUCACCAUAGAUUUUUGUGAUGAGAAAUUCUUGCCUAGGCCCAAUCUAUAUAGACCCAAAGGCUUAUCAAGAGAUAUAUUACAUGUGGGACCACCAGUUUUGUAUGAAAAUCCAUCCAUCUGUUGGACCACAUGAACCGGGUCUAGGCAAGAAUGAUUCUUUUGUAAUUACUCUGAUGUUAUUUGAGCUAGUCAUCGUAAUCCUUUCCUUCAGUGUUCCUUCAUUGAGCAUGACUAGCAGUCCACAUAAACUGGGUCUAGGCAAGAAUGAUUCUUCUGUAACUAAUCUUAUGUUAUUUGAGCCAGUCAUCUUAAUCCUUUACUUAGUGUUCCUUCAUUGAGCAUGACU
This 676-nucleotide unclassified non-coding RNA is filed under the name Hevea brasiliensis (rubber tree). Lineage: Eukaryota; Viridiplantae; Streptophyta; Magnoliopsida; Malpighiales; Euphorbiaceae. The record is from RNAcentral.